CCUACGGGAGGCAGCAGUCGAGAAUCAUUCACAAUGGGGGAAACCCUGAUGGUGCGACGCCGCGUGGGGGAAUGAAGGUCUUCGGAUUGUAAACCCCUGUCAUGUGGGAGCAAAUUAAAAAGAUAGUACCACAAGAGGAAGAGACGGCUAACUCUGUGCCAGCAGCCGCGGUAAUACAGAGGUCUCAAGCGUUGUUCGGAAUCACUGGGCGUAAAGUGUGCGUAGGCUGUUUCGUAAGUCGUGUGUGAAAGGCGCGGGCUCAACCCGCGGACGGCACAUGAUACUGCGAGACUAGAGUAAUGGAGGGGGAACCGGAAUUCUCGGUGUAGCAGUGAAAUGCGUAGAUAUCGAGAGGAACACUCGUGGCGAAGGCGGGUUCCUGGACAUUAACUGACGCUGAGGCACGAAGGCCAGGGGAGCGAAAGGGAUUAGAUACCCUAGUAGUC
This 446-nucleotide ribosomal RNA is filed under the name uncultured bacterium. RNAcentral describes it as "partial 16S ribosomal RNA". It matches the Rfam family "Bacterial small subunit ribosomal RNA", at positions 338 to 795 of the family's 1533-position model. The record is from RNAcentral.